RNAcentral lists this small RNA (72 nucleotides) under Escherichia coli. RNAcentral's name for it is "partial RtT sRNA". It matches the Rfam family "RtT RNA", at positions 60 to 130 of the family's 130-position model. From Rfam's summary of the family: This family represents a bacterial cis-regulatory element known as RtT RNA. The exact function of RtT is unknown although it is thought that it may be involved in changing the cellular response in relation to amino acid starvation. The record is from RNAcentral. Lineage: Bacteria; Pseudomonadati; Pseudomonadota; Gammaproteobacteria; Enterobacterales; Enterobacteriaceae.
AGAGAGCGUUGCCGCAGGCAACGACCCGAAGGGUGAAGCACGCAGCGCUGAGUAAUCCUUCCCCCACCACCA